GACAUAGAUGCGUAGUGAAUACAAGCUAAAAACUUAUAUAACAAAAAAUAUAAACUUAAUCCCAAGAACACCCAGUUACAGCUAUAUAUAAGUGAAAUAAUUUUGGCAUUAACCUAAGCAAUGCCCUUUUGUGAAAGUUUUCAUUGAGCUAUAUUGUAAUACAAAACAAAAACAUUUCUUUUAUUCAGCUGUUCAUUCUUUGA
This is a non-coding RNA of Biomphalaria pfeifferi, 203 nucleotides long. Lineage: Eukaryota; Metazoa; Mollusca; Gastropoda; Planorbidae. The record is from the annotation of a GenBank genome assembly.